AGCGGCGGACGGGUGAGUAACGCGUGGGUAACCUGCCUCAUACACAUGGAUAACAUACCGAAAGGUAUGCUAAUACAAGAUGAUAUAAGAGAUUCGCAUGGAUUUCUUAUCAAAGCUCCGGCGGUAUGAGAUGGACCCGCGUCUGAUUAGCUAGUUGGUAAGGUAACGGCUUACCAAGGCGACGAUCAGUAGCCGACCUGAGAGGGUGAUCGGCCACAUUGGAACUGAGACACGGUCCAAACUCCUACGGGAGGCAGCAGUGGGGAAUAUUGCACAAUGGGCGAAAGCCUGAUGCAGCAACGCCGCGUGAGCGAUGAAGGCCUUCGGGUCGUAAAGCUCUGUCCUCAAGGAAGAUAAUGACGGUACUUGAGGAGGAAGCCCCGGCUAACUACGUGCCAGCAGCCGCGGUAAUACGUAGGGGGCUAGCGUUAUCCGGAUUUACUGGGCGUAAAGGGUGCGUAGGUGGUUUCUUAAGUCAGGAGUGAAAGGCUACGGCUCAACCGUAGUAAGCUCUUGAAACUGGGAAACUUGAGUGCAGGAGAGGAAAGUGGAAUUCCUAGUGUAGCGGUGAAAUGCGUAGAUAUUAGGAGGAACACCAGUAGCGAAGGCGGCUUUCUGGACUGUAACUGACACUGAGGCACGAAAGCGUGGGGAGCAAACAGGAUUAGAUACCCUGGUAGUCCACGCCGUAAACGAUGAGUACUAGGUGU
This 710-nucleotide ribosomal RNA is filed under the name uncultured bacterium. RNAcentral's name for it is "bacterial SSU rRNA". It matches the Rfam family "Bacterial small subunit ribosomal RNA", at positions 94 to 823 of the family's 1533-position model. The record is from RNAcentral.